This 1343-nucleotide ribosomal RNA is filed under the name uncultured bacterium. Its description in RNAcentral is "16S ribosomal RNA". It matches the Rfam family "Bacterial small subunit ribosomal RNA", at positions 28 to 1378 of the family's 1533-position model. The record is from RNAcentral.
GACGAACGCUGGCGGCGUGCUUAACACAUGCAAGUCGAACGGAAAGGCCCUGCUUUUGUGGGGUGCUCGAGUGGCGAACGGGUGAGUAACACGUGAGUAACCUGCCCUUGACUUUGGGAUAACUUCAGGAAACUGGGGCUAAUACCGGAUAGGAGCUCCUGCUGCAUGGUGGGGGUUGGAAAGUUUCGGCGGUUGGGGAUGGACUCGCGGCUUAUCAGCUUGUUGGUGGGGUAGUGGCUUACCAAGGCUUUGACGGGUAGCCGGCCUGAGAGGGUGACCGGCCACAUUGGGACUGAGAUACGGCCCAGACUCCUACGGGAGGCAGCAGUGGGGAAUAUUGCACAAUGGGCGGAAGCCUGAUGCAGCAACGCCGCGUGCGGGAUGACGGCCUUCGGGUUGUAAACCGCUUUCGCCUGUGACGAAGCGUGAGUGACGGUAAUGGGUAAAGAAGCACCGGCUAACUACGUGCCAGCAGCCGCGGUGAUACGUAGGGUGCGAGCGUUGUCCGGAUUUAUUGGGCGUAAAGGGCUCGUAGGUGGUUGAUCGCGUCGGAAGUGUAAUCUUGGGGCUUAACCCUGAGCGUGCUUUCGAUACGGGUUGACUUGAGGAAGGUAGGGGAGAAUGGAAUUCCUGGUGGAGCGGUGGAAUGCGCAGAUAUCAGGAGGAACACCAGUGGCGAAGGCGGUUCUCUGGGCCUUUCCUGACGCUGAGGAGCGAAAGCGUGGGGAGCGAACAGGCUUAGAUACCCUGGUAGUCCACGCUGUAAACGGUGGGUACUAGGUGUGGGGUCCAUUCCACGGGUUCCGUGCCGUAGCUAACGCUUUAAGUACCCCGCCUGGGGAGUACGGCCGCAAGGCUAAAACUCAAAGGAAUUGACGGGGCCCCGCACAAGCGGCGGAGCAUGCGGAUUAAUUCGAUGCAACGCGUAGAACCUUACCUGGGUUUGACAUGGAUCGGGAGUGCUCAGAGAUGGGUGUGCCUCUUUUGGGGUCGGUUCACAGGUGGUGCAUGCCUGUCGUCAGCUCGUGUCGUGAGAUGUUGGGUUAAGUCCCGCAACGAGCGCAACCCUUGUUCACUGUUGCCAGCACGUUAUGGUGGGGACUCAGUGGAGACCGCCGGGGUCAACUCGGAGGAAGGUGGGGAUGACGUCAAGUCCUCAUGCCCCUUAUGUCCAGGGCUUCACGCAUGCUACAAUGGCUGGUACAGAGAGUGGCGAGCCUGUGAGGGUGAGCGAAUCUCGGAAAGCCGGUCUCAGUUCGGAUUGGGGUCUGCAACUCGACCUCAUGAAGUCGGAGUCGCUAGUAAUCGCAGAUCAGCAACGCUGCGGUGAAUAAGGUCCCGGG